This 253-nucleotide ribosomal RNA is filed under the name uncultured bacterium. RNAcentral's name for it is "partial 16S ribosomal RNA". It matches the Rfam family "Bacterial small subunit ribosomal RNA", at positions 524 to 776 of the family's 1533-position model. The record is from RNAcentral.
UACGUAGGGGGCAAGCGUUGUCCGGAAUUAUUGGGCGUAAAGAGCUCGUAGGCGGUUUGUUGCGUCGGCUGUGAAAUCCCGAGGCUCAACCUCGGGUCUGCAGUCGAUACGAGCAAACUAGAGUGUUGCAGGGGAGACUGGAAUUCCUGGUGUAGCGGUGAAAUGCGCAGAUAUCAGGAGGAACACCGGUGGCGAAGGCGGGUCUCUGGGCAACAACUGACGCUGAGGCACGAAAGCAUGGGGAGCAAACAGG